AAGGUACUCCCUCCGUUCCAAAUUAGUUGUCUUGAAUUUAUCUUGAUGCGGAUGUAACUAACACUAAAACAUGUCUAGAUACAUCCGUAUCUAGAUAAAUCUGAGUCAAUUAAUUUGGAACGGAGGGAGUACGAA
Non-coding RNA from Triticum aestivum (bread wheat), 135 nucleotides. Lineage: Eukaryota; Viridiplantae; Streptophyta; Magnoliopsida; Poales; Poaceae. The record is from Rfam.